Molecule: ribosomal RNA, 490 nt
Filed under: uncultured bacterium
Lineage: Bacteria
Description: partial 16S ribosomal RNA
Rfam family: Bacterial small subunit ribosomal RNA
Source: RNAcentral
GAUGAACGCUAGCUACAGGCUUAACACAUGCAAGUCGAGGGGCAGCAUGGUCUUAGCUUGCUAAGGCCGAUGGCGACCGGCGCACGGGUGAGUAACACGUAUCCAACCUGCCGUCUACUCUUGGACAGCCUUCUGAAAGGAAGAUUAAUACAAGAUGGCAUCAUGAGUCCGCAUGUUCACAUGAUUAAAGGUAUUCCGGUAGACGAUGGGGAUGCGUUCCAUUAGAUAGUAGGCGGGGUAACGGCCCACCUAGUCUUCGAUGGAUAGGGGUUCUGAGAGGAAGGUCCCCCACAUUGGAACUGAGACACGGUCCAAACUCCUACGGGAGGCAGCAGUGAGGAAUAUUGGUCAAUGGGCGCAGGCCUGAACCAGCCAAGUAGCGUGAAGGAUGACUGCCCUAUGGGUUGUAAACUUCUUUUAUAAAGGAAUAAAGUCGGGUAUGUAUACCCGUCUGCAUGUACUUUAUGAAUAAGGAUCGGCUAACUCCGUG